This 484-nucleotide ribosomal RNA is filed under the name uncultured bacterium. RNAcentral's name for it is "partial 16S ribosomal RNA". It matches the Rfam family "Bacterial small subunit ribosomal RNA", at positions 30 to 507 of the family's 1533-position model. The record is from RNAcentral.
AUUGAACGCUGGCGGCGGGCCUAACACAUGCAAGUCGAGCGGAGGAAGGGGGCUUUCUCCUGGAUUCAGCGUCGGACGGGGGAGAAAUGCCUAGGAAUCUGCCUGGUAGUGGGGGAUAACGUCUGGAAACGGGGGCUACUACCACAUACUACCUGAGGGAGAAAGAUGGGAAUCUUCGGAACGCACGCUCUCAGCUGAUCCUAGGUCGAAUUAGCUAGUUGGUGGGGUAAAGGCCGACCAAGGCGACGAUCCGUAACUGGUCUGAGAGGAUGAUCAGUCACACUGGAACUGAGCCACGCUCCAGCCUCCUACGGGAGGCAGCAGUGGGGAAUAUUGGACAAUGGGCGAAAUCCUAAUCAAGCCCGGCCGCGUGUGUGAAGAAGGUCUUCGGAUUGUAAAGCACUUUAAGUUGGGAGGACGGGCAGUAAGUUAAUACCUUGCUGUUUUGACGUUACCAAAAGAAUAAGCACCGGCUAACUUCGUG